RNAcentral lists this ribosomal RNA (600 nucleotides) under uncultured bacterium. RNAcentral describes it as "bacterial SSU rRNA". It matches the Rfam family "Bacterial small subunit ribosomal RNA", at positions 34 to 666 of the family's 1533-position model. The record is from RNAcentral.
CGCUGGCGGCGUGCCUAACACAUGCAAGUCGAACGAGAAAGUGGAGCAAUCCAUGAGUAAAGUGGCGACCGGGUGAGUAACACGUGACUAACCUACCUCCGAGUGGGGAAUAACUCCGGGAAACCGGGGCUAAUACCGCAUAACAUCGCAAGAUCAAAGCAGCAAUGCGCUUGGAGAGGGGGUCGCGGCUGAUUAGCUAGUUGGUAGGGUAACGGCCUACCAAGGCGAAGAUCGGUAUCCGGCCUGAGAGGGCGCACGGACACACUGGAACUGAAACACGGUCCAGACUCCUACGGGAGGCAGCAGUGGGGAAUUUUGCGCAAUGGGGGAAACCCUGACGCAGCAACGCCGCGUGGAGGAUGAAGCCCUUUGGGGCGUAAACUCCUUUCGACUCGGACGAUAAUGACGGUACGAGUGGAAGAAGCACCGGCUAACUCUGUGCCAGCAGCCGCGGUAAUACAGAGGGUGCGAGCGUUGUUCGGAAUUAUUGGGCGUAAAGGGCGCGUAGGCGGUGCGGUAAGUCACCUGUGAAAUCUCCCGGCUUAACUGGGAGCCUGCAGGCGAGACUACCGUGCUGGAGUGUGGGAGAGGUGCGUGGAA